AGGCCUUGUCUGAUGCCAUUAAAAAAUGGCAGGAACUAUCACCAGAAACCAGUGGAAAAAGGAAGAAGAGAAAACAAAUGAACCAGUAUUCUUACAUGGAUUUCAAGUUUGAACAAGGUGCAUGCAGGAGCUGUGGCAGGGGCUGCUGGUGUGGCAGCAGGAGGAGCCCUCUGAGUUUGACUUGGCCUACGCCGACUUCCUCUCCCCAGGCAUCAGCAUGCUGCGGCUCUUUGAGACCUUCUUGGAGACGGCACCACAGUUCACGCUGGUGCUGGCCGUCAUGCUGCAGAGCGGCCGGGCUGAGUAUUACCAGUCCUAGGGGAGGCAACCGCCUCAGUAACGAUCCUAAUUGGAUCCAACUGGGGAACUCCAGAAAGUUUCAGUAACAAAUUUGCAACGGUUCUGGGCCUUUUAAUAUGGAUUCACAAAAGAUAAUGAGGCUAUCCUGUCAUUUCUACCCUAUGGAUGAGGAAACUGACAUUCAGACAGUCCAUGGGAUCUACCCACUCUGUCAUAAAGAACCGAAGGACCAACAUUCGCGACAGGACCUCCCGUUUGGCAUUUCGUUUUCAGAUGUGCCUAGAAGAAGGAGACAACAGCUUCUUAGACUGUUGAAACCUGUUUCUGCUUGAGUUGUCAAGAUAUCACCUAAAUCCUAUCCACAUUUUGUGCACCGGGUUUGUGGACGCCUACCACCAUUCAUUCAUUGCAGUGGCUCAGAGAAGAUGAAAAGAGGACUCUUUGUGGCCAAUGAAGAUCCUUGACAGAGCUCAGAUGACCAGAGUGGACUGGCUUCUACCCUAAAUACACAUCACAAUAUUUCUUGCUCUGACCUUGCUCCACUUUAUACAACACCACACAGCUCGAGAGUGGCAGAGCUGCCGUGGGAACCCGAAUGCCAUCUGACUCCAAAGCCUUUCUCUCAACCACCACUCUGAUGCCUCCUAUUCUUUCCUGAAAUCUUCAGUAUAGUCAUUAUUAUGAAGUAAAAAAAAAAGAAAAAGGAAGGAAGGUAGAGGGAGCCCCUCUGUCUCCAUUCUUUGUUUCCGUGAAGAACCUCCAGUCUAUUUUCAGGAGUGUGCUGUUGGUGUAUCACAUUUUCUGGCCCACUCUCUCCCAUUUCUGUCACUCAUUGUCCCCCAGGAAGAAGCGACAUGUGGAUGGUAAGACUGGAAGAAGCCACUCUUACUUUCGGUGGUGUGCUGGUAAAUGUUUAACAGCUGGCUUUGGGGCAGCGAGAAAGCACUGGAUUGUAGCAUGUGCCGAUCUCCAUGGUGUAAAAACACUUCCACCAUAGCUGCUUCCAAGUAUGUAAAUUGUACCUCAAUAAAGCCAAUUUAAAAAGUAAAGUCAACCAGUUUUUGAAACUCUUGAGACUUUAACAUUCAGUCCAGCAAGCUGUUACCUACUGGAUCCAGCAACACACAACCCGUAACACGGUGAGCUGGGUCUCAGCUCCCCACUCUUCACAGACCCCAGAGCUCUCUCCCCUUUGUGAGGUUCCUCAUCCAUCCUUCCAUUGCUUCUGCUGCUGCCCUGAAGGCAUCACGUCUCUCCCCUCUCCUCCUGGGGCACCUCUCUUAACAGUUUAGGACUUUGAGGAGUUUUGCCUUUCACAAAAAGAAAGAAAGAAGGGGGGAAAAAGGUUGUGUCUCAGCAGCUUUUGCUGUCUACCCUGCAGCACAAAUUCACUUGAUGGAGGAACACAAAGGUCAGACUCCCUGAUGUGAAGAGGAGAAAAGGAAAUUCAAAUUUGGAAGGAACUCUACUCUCCCCUGCUCUGUCCUCCACAAGAGAAUGGGGCAGAACAUUCUUUAGUCUAUACCUCUGUUCCACAUGUGUUGCCAAAGACCGCAGUGCCUGGUGGGUGACAUCUCUCCAGGCUUUUGAAGACAUCUGAGCCUGGAUUUUGAGCACAUUCCUGAUCUCCCUACUGGGAGGGUCUUCUCCCUCAAGGUCUGCCUUCUGACAAGCCCUAGGUCUUUCCCACCUCCAGUGGCUGGGUGGGCCGGGGAGAGGCGGGUCAGGGUAGAGAUGUGAGCGCAUUGUGAUUGGCAGCCCCGCUAGAACCCCGUGGAGUGGAGAAGUGACCUUCUUCAAAGGAGGGGAGCAUGCAGUUUCUGGAAGGAGGAAGGAUGCGGUGAGAACCAAACGCAUCCAUGCAGGAUUUCAAGUCUAAACGACCUACUCCUGGCAACCAAAGCUGGAGUAAGCAUAAGAAUGUAAGAGAUGGGAGCUUCGGCGAGGGCACGUGACCGAAACCUCCCAUAACACUCCACCUGCCCCAGUCCAGCCAGCUUGCUGUCUACAGUGUGCCCACCAAUGUAUCAAGCCUCAGCGCUUUGUUUCCUGGGAUCCUGGCCAGGCUCCCAUUAACCUCCUGUGUUGUCCCCACAGCUCCUGUACAUGGGAGAGGGCCUGCUUUGGGCCAGAUCCCAGAGCUGGGCCUAAUUUGUGAUGAGAUGCCCUGGGAGGCAAGCGUGCUUCAGCGUGUACCCGAUCAAUAGCCGGACACCCAGGUCCAGAGGUGUCUUGAGUCCGUCAGCAGGACGUUGGGCAGCUCUAGGUUCAGAACCUCUGCAGUUUUUCCCUUGGCUUUCCCGGGGCUUGUCCACAGCGCCCCCUGCUGCCCAUUCUUGGUUGACUUUGUGUCUUGUGGAUCCCUCAUCAGAUCUGUUCAUGAAGCCUAACGCAAGGUCCUCCCUCCAGGGUGACACAGUGAAGUCAAGUAACAGAUGUGGAGAUGCUUUGGAGAGCUUGAAACAGAAGACUACAUAAUGGCAAUGGGCCAGUAUCAUAAAGCCAAGAUUGAAGAAGACAGAACUGAAUGCCUCCCUCAUUUGCAAAACUUGCCUUAUCUUUCAGUAUCAUGCUGUUUCAGGGGACAGAAAUCAAUCCAUCGUAUAUUUGAGCCCUGCUCUUAUAACCAAGUUAAAUUUUGCCUAAAAUAAGGCCCUGCCUCAGGCAGAUCAUGGUUUAUUUUUUAUUUUAUUUUAUUUUUUUGAGAUGGAGUCUCACUCUGUCGCCCAGGCUGGAGUGCAGUGGUGCAAUCUCCUCUCACCACAAUCUCCAUCUCCUGGGUUCAAGUGAUUCUCACCUCAGCCUCUCAAGUAGCUGGGAUUACAGGCACGCACCACCAUGCCUGGCUAAUUUUUGUAUUUUUAGUAGAGACGGGGUUUCACCAUGUUGGCCAGGCUGGUCUUGAACUCCUGGCCUCAAGUGAUCCUCCCACCUUGACAUCCCAAAGUGCUGGGAUUACAGGCGUGAACCAUCACACCUGGCCAAAUCAUGGUUUAAAAAAGGGAGAUGGUCAAAUAUAAUUGUUAUGACUGCCAUAGUACUUACUGUGUGCCAGAUACUUUGUCUAGGUUUUUAACCCUUACAACACAUCCCUAAAACAUUGUACAGAUGAAAAAGCAGAGGCACAAAGAGGCUUAAAGCAUCCCCAAAGUCACAUAGUUACUAUAAAGCCAGUAAUUGGCUCUAUGUCUAUCUGACUCCAAAAUCUGUUUUGUCCCCUUCUGUGCCUAUGCACAGAAGGCAGUGGGAACAUGAAUGGAGGUGGAGGGAGGGGUAAGAAGGAGACAUCAGUGGUCUACCCUCUUUAUGUGAAAACAGACUCCCUCUUUUAUCUGACAGCUGCUCCCUGACAAGAGGAAUACCCAUUCUUUCUUCCUAGGUCAAGAAAGAGAGUCCAAGGCAUGGUCAAUCACAACGCUGUCCCUCCAGUCAUGGGCCAAGUGCUGGGCACACAUCACCAGCCAGGCUACUCUUAGCCUUUCCCGUAAUUUUAAUAACCUGAGACUGGGAGAAAGAAGCCUCACUCUCUCCUGGGGUGAUAAAACUGUAUGUAAGUCUAGAGUUCCCUGUGAGUACAGCCUCCCCUAGCAAGAAAGGAUGAGACCAACUCAUAAUAAGAAGCCAAAAUACGUGUAUAUAUGAGUGUGUGUGUGUGAGAGAGAGAGAGCUGACAGCAUUGUUUGAGUGUCUGGAUCUAGCCAUUCCUGUGGUGGCUCCGUCUUGUCCUUACUUAUAUGAGUUAAUACAUCCCCUUUUAAUUGAAGCUAGUUUGUGUUGGGUUUCUGUCCCUUAAAGUCAAGAGUCUUGAGAAAUACAAUAUCGGUCAAAAAAAGUCUUCAUAGAACGGGUGAACCAGGAAAAAAGGGAUUCACCAGAAAGAUAAGAAGAGACGCAGAGGGUGAAUGUAACAGCAGCUACACUUGAGGAAGUACGAGCAGCUCAGGAUGACUUGAGCCGAUAUGUGUAAUCCCAGCACUUUGGGAGGCCAAGGCAGGUGGAUCACCUGAGGUCAGGAGUUCAAGACCAGCCUGGCCAAAAUGGUGAAACCCCGUCUCUACUAAAAAUACAAAUAUUAGCCAGGCACUGUGGCGCACCCUUGUAAUCUCAGCUACACCAGAGGCUGAGGCAGCAGAAUCGCUUGAACCUAGGAGGUGGAGGUUGCAGUGAGCUGAGAUCGUGCCAGCCUGGGUGACGAGCGAAACUCUGUCAAAAGAAUCUAGUUGAACUAGAUUUGGUCUGAUGCAGUUACAGAUUUACAAACCGUGCCCCCACCCUCCUGCCAACACCUUCCACUCCUCAUUCUUGAGGGAUUAGGGGUGAUGGAGGUCAUGCUUCUGUAUCGGCUUCAUGCUGGCCAGGGGCACUGGGUCCCCUAAAGUGAAAGGAAUGAAACUCUUGGGCUUCUGAGUUCAAAUGAGUUCUGGGGUCACCUGGAGUAGCUUGAAGGGCUGGUAUUGUUGUAAUACAAUCUGAAGGUGGAAGUGUUGGAGCCUGGAGGACAGACAGCUCACCAUCCAUUUAAAUAAACAGGACCGAAAAGUAACAGAACAGUAGCCACGAGGGGCCCCAACAGAGGAAGAAACCAGGUGAGGUGUGGUAUAGUGGACUCGACUGCCUUCUAAAUCUCAGUGGUUGGCCGGGUGCAGUGGCUCACGCCUGUAAUUCCAGCAAAAGAAAACCCGAGGCAGGGUGAUCAUGAGGUCAGGAGUUCAAGACCAACCUGGCAGACAUGGUAAAGCCCCAUGUCUACUAAAAAUACAGAAAUUAGCCAGGCGUGGUGGUGUGUGCUGUAGUCCCAGCUACUCGGGAGGCUGAGGCAGGAGAAUCGCUUGAACCUGGGAGGCAGAGGUUGCAGUGAGCUGAGAUUUUGCCACUGCACUCCAGCCUAGGUAACAGAGCAGGACUCCAUCUCAAUCAAUCUAGCUAUCUUUCUCAGUGGUUGAACUACCCUUGAUAUGGUUCAGGUCUGUAUCCCCACCCAAAUCUCAUGUCAAAUUGUAAUUCCCAGUGUUGAGGGACGGAGCUGGUGGGAGAUGAUUGGCUCAUGGGGGCCAACUUCCCCCUUGCUGUUCUCCUGAUAGUGAGUGAGCGCUUAUGGGAUCUGGUUGUUGAAAAGUAUGCAUCAUCUCCCACUUCGCUCUCUCUGUCUCUCCCGCUCCACCAUGGCCAGACGUGCCUGCUUCCCUUUCGCCUUCUGCAUGAUUAUCAGUUUCCUGAGGCCUCCCCAGCCAUGCUUCCUGUACAACCUGCAGAACUGUUCCCUUGCUGUUCUGACAUCGGGUCCACACUCGAGAUGGAUUGCACCGCUUUUCACCAGACUGGGGAUCUCUCUUAACCUCCUAGACCCAGAGACGGACAUUGCUGUUUGCCCAGCCACCUGCAAUCCAGGAAGAGAGGCCUCAACAGACACCAAUUCUGAUGGUGCCUGGGUCUUCGACUUUCAGCCUCCAGAACUGUGAGAAAAUGAAUUUCUGCUAUUUAAGCCGCCUAGUUACGGUAUUUUGUUAUGGUAGCCCAAGACCUCCCUCCCCACCACCACCAACAAACACAUAUGUGUGGGGAGCCAAAUUCACAUUCCCAUGCAUUGGCAAAGCCUGCAGACAGGGAAGUAGGUGUCAUGGCAAAGACCUGACCACUGAAGAUCCUGUUAUGGGUAGCUUCCUGUUCUUACCAGAUCAGUGAAGCGCUGUGAAUGGCUUUUCAUAGUUAAUGGUUAGCACAGGACAGACUGCAGAGGCCGCAUCAAAGGAAGACAAAAACAAUUAUUGUGUGGAUUUUUAACCCCUGACAUGUAUAAAAGCACUGAAUAAACCAGAGCUUGUCGGCGCUUCCCUAUCAGGGGACUGUCCCUCCUAA
Symphalangus syndactylus (siamang) is the source of this 6156-nucleotide RNA transcript. It is a transcript of the gene named E3 ubiquitin-protein ligase RNF216-like, with no coding region annotated. The record is from RefSeq and is a predicted model, not a curated record. NCBI's taxonomy places the organism in Eukaryota, Metazoa, Chordata, Mammalia, Primates, Hylobatidae.